UGGGGAAUUUUGGACAAUGGGGGAAACCCUGAUCCAGCCAUCCCGCGUGUGCGAUGAAGGCCUUCGGGUUGUAAAGCACUUUUGGCAGGAAAGAAACGUCAUGGGUUAAUACCCCGUGAAACUGACGGUACCUGCAGAAUAAGCACCGGCUAACUACGUGCCAGCAGCCGCGGUAAUACGUAGGGUGCAAGCGUUAAUCGGAAUUACUGGGCGUAAAGCGUGCGCAGGCGGUUCGGAAAGAAAGAUGUGAAAUCCCAGGGCUCAACUUUGGAACUGCAUUUUUAACUACCGGGCUAAAGUGUGUCAAACGGAGGUGGAAUUCCGAGUGUAGCAGUGAAAUGCGUAGUUAUGCGUAGGAACACCGAUGGCGAAGGCAGCCUCUUGGGAUAACACUGACACUCAUGCACGAAAGCGUGGGGAGCCAACAGG
RNAcentral lists this ribosomal RNA (429 nucleotides) under Acidobacteriota bacterium. RNAcentral's name for it is "Acidobacteria bacterium partial 16S ribosomal RNA". It matches the Rfam family "Bacterial small subunit ribosomal RNA", at positions 355 to 776 of the family's 1533-position model. The record is from RNAcentral. Lineage: Bacteria; Pseudomonadati; Acidobacteriota.